This 388-nucleotide ribosomal RNA is filed under the name uncultured Dyella sp. RNAcentral's name for it is "bacterial SSU rRNA". It matches the Rfam family "Bacterial small subunit ribosomal RNA", at positions 30 to 414 of the family's 1533-position model. Lineage: Bacteria; Pseudomonadati; Pseudomonadota; Gammaproteobacteria; Lysobacterales; Rhodanobacteraceae. The record is from RNAcentral.
UGAACGCUGGCGGCAUGCCUAACACAUGCAAGUCGAACGGCAGCACAGUAGAGCUUGCUCUAUGGGUGGCGAGUGGCGGACGGGUGAGUAAUGCAUCGGGAUCUACCCAAACGUGGGGGAUAACGUAGGGAAACUUACGCUAAUACCGCAUACGUCUUACGAGAGAAAGCAGGGGACCUUCGGGCCUUGCGCGGCUGGACGAACCGAUGUGCGAUUAGCUAGUUGGUAGGGUAAUGGCCUACCAAGGCGACGAUCGCUAGCUGGUCUGAGAGGAUGAUCAGCCACACUGGAACUGAGACACGGUCCAGACUCCUACGGGAGGCAGCAGUGGGGAAUAUUGGACAAUGGGCGCAAGCCUGAUCCAGCAAUGCCGCGUGUGUGAAGAAGG